Molecule: long non-coding RNA, 3842 nt
Organism: Gossypium raimondii (Peruvian cotton)
Lineage: Eukaryota; Viridiplantae; Streptophyta; Magnoliopsida; Malvales; Malvaceae
Exons: 4
Source: RefSeq, a predicted model, not a curated record
AACAACUUUGGGGACUCCACCAAAAAAUGUGCAACAUAUCCCACGAAGCAAAGAAAAACAACAAAAAAAAAAAACAAAACUAAAAAAGAAAAGAAAAAACCAAAGCAGAAAGAGCUGAAGAAACCCAUUCAUCUUCCAUAGCUAGAGAUGCAUGUCCAGAAAAGCUCCAACGCCGUGUGAACUUGCCACUGAUCAACGCUCACAGUUGAAGCCACAUCAAGAACUGCUAGUAUGGAUUCAAAUCUAGCAAGCACCCCCGAUUCCUAAAAUUUCCGGCAAACUCAGCCCCUCCCCACCUAUAUAUGUCCACCACUACCAAAAUCGAUGUUGGUCCUUCCACCACCCAACAAACAUCCCUCCUUCGGAUAAAGCUUUCACGGGCCAAUAGCUGUUUAGCUUGGAGAUAAGCACUACUGAGUCGCCUUUAAGUUCAACACAUGGAAACCCCAGAUCCCGGGCAAAUCCAAGAGCUCGCAUGCAUGCCAGGGCUUCCGUUGUCAACAAGCAAGGUUAUCAAAGAACCUGUCAUAAAAAUUGACGCAGACCCAAGAAUCAACAGGAGGCCUCCAAAGUAGUGACUCAGUGGCCGCGAUGUUUCCAGAGCCCGAUGGAAGAGAUUCCAAGUCACGCAGAUAGCCUAAUACAAAGAUAAGUAGAGACCGAACCGAUUGAUAAACUCCCUCAUAGGUGAUUUUAUUUCUGGAGGUCUAAAUAGUCCAUACAGUAAUAAUAAAAAGCUGCACUUGUCUCAUAUGUUUAGCAGAUAGUUGCCCAACCCAGUGGAUAUGUGUAUCUUCAGAAUCUGGAACAUUAUCCCAAUUGAUGCCUAGAUUGUGUGUCAAAUUUGCAAGACACUAGGACAAUCCGAACAGACAUGAAGAAUGGUUUCAGGACCACAACCAUAGUGAGGGCACAUUUGAUCUAACCUGAGUAUACGCUGAAAUAAAUUAACCUUUAUAGGGAGAAAACUGCUUAUUUAACACUAGCAUGUAAUUUUCAUUUUCUCGGGCACUUGAGCCCCCUAUAUUUGUUUGUAAAUAAGUCUCGUGGUUUGUGUUAUAUUUCUGUAAUAAUCAUCAUCUGUCUUUGAGAAGCCUCGUAACAGCAACUUAUAUUCGCUCCGGACCAAUUACUCCCUAUUGUCCUCCAAGAACCAUCACCAAUGAUCUGCCAAAUCAUGAACGGUUAACGAGCUACUUAAUAUGCAUCGCACGAUCAGGGCGUUUACCUAGGAAGCCGAACAUCAUCCCAGACCGAGAUUGAGAGCCCAUUGCCCACUUUCCAACCACAACCUAUUUACAGAAGGCCUUUAGCGGCCCAGAUACUUUGCCAAACAAAGGAAGGUUGAUGUCCUAACUCUAUUUCCAUAAAAUUGCUAGUAGGGUAAUAUUUAGUUUUAAGCACACGCGCCAUUAAAGAACUCAGACUAGUCGUUAGACACCAACCUUGCUUGGUUAGUAGAGCAAUGUUAACCUUCAAUAGAUCACAAAAACCCAACCCACCAACCUCCUUCAAAUCACACAAUCCCUCCCAAGAACACCAAUGAAUCCCCCUCCUCGUGGUUGACUUACUCCACCAGUACCGACACAUUAAAGCCUACAACUCUUUAUAAAAGGAACUAGGAAGUAAAAAAAUAAAACAUCGAGUAGAUCAGGAUAGCUUGCAAAAUCGGAUUAAUAAAAAUGACUUUACCCCCUUGUGAAAGGCAUCGAUUAUACCAUCGACCAAUUCGUUCAAGAAAUCAUUCUUUAAUAGCUCGAGAAUCCCACUUUUUAUUCUUUCCAACAACUAUAGCAAGCCCAAAUAAUUCCCAAGAUCCAUAGUGCUUCGGACACCCAACACUCAUUCAAUAGCAUUGCGCAACCCAUGAUCAAUGUUUCAGCUAAAGUAAACAAUAGACUUUCCAAAAUUGAUUUGUUUCCCUGAACACAACUCAUAUUCCUAUAGAAUGGCCACUACAUAACUCGCCCCCAAAAUAGUCUCGCCAAAUAUCAAGUUUUCAUCGACAAAGAAUAAAUGAGAAACCCGAGGCUCCCCACAACUCACUUAGACCCCCCUUAAAAGGCCAUCAUUACACGCCAGAUUCAACAAAAUAGGAAGGCACUCACUACAAAAUAAGAACAAGAAAGGGCUUAAUGGAUCACCUUGACGAAGGCCACGAUAUGGUACAAUAAAACCUUUAGCCUCUCCAUUCACAACAACUGAAUAUCUGACUGUUUGAACACACCAUAUGAUCAAAUUAACCCAGCUCACAUCAAAUCUCAUUUUGAUCAUAAUCGUCUGUACUAAAUGCCACUCCACCUUAUCAUAGGCCUUGCUCAUAUCCAACUUUAGAGCAACAGUUCCCCGAUGGCCCAUUCGCUUCCUUUUAAAAGAGUGUAACAACUCAAAAGCAACAAUGGCAUUAUUAGUGAUCAGCUAACUAGAAACAACGACAUUCUACCCCUCAUCAAUGUAAUGAGGCAUAAUCUUCUGUAACCUAUUAACGAGCACCUUAGAUAUAAUCUUAAAUAACAUAUUACAUAAACUAAUAGGCCGAAAGUUUGUCAUGUUCUGUGGAUUACAUUGUUUAGGGAUGAGAACAAUAUUGGUGUCAUUAAUUUCACUAAGGGAUCCACCAUCAUUAAGUAUAUGUAAGUAAAAAUUACAGACAUCCUUACCCACUAUAUGCCAAAAUUUCUAAUAAAAUAAAGUAGGCAUACCAUCACUACCUGCUACCUUAUCAGGUGUCAUCCCCCAAACAGCCAAUAGAACCUCUUCCACAAUGAAUUCAAACUGCAAAAUAGCAUUCAUAUCGUCAGUAACACGAAUCAAGAUACAAAAUAACAGCAUACGUAUAUCUCCUGGACCUUGAGUCGUAAAUAGAUUAGUAAAACACAAGUAAGCCACUCUUUCAAUCUCCCCCUCCCCCUCAAUCAUACCCCCAUCAGCAUUUGCAAUUCGAUCCACAGCAUUAACUCGUCAACGUUGCAUAACAAACCAAUGAAAAAAACACAGUUUUACGGUCACCAUGUCGUAACCAUGUAGUUAUAGCUCUCUUUUCUUAGUACUUUUCAACCUUGUCAAUUUCAAGGUUAAGAUGCAUCUUAGCCAUCACUAUCUCUUCAAAGACAUCAUCUUUUGGAGCCGCACCAACAAGAGCAUGAAGGCGAUCCUGAAGCCAACGAACACUCAUUUUCGAUAAACCUCGCACUCUCUUGGCCUAAGCCAUCAAACCCUUACCCAUAGAUCCAAUGAGAGUAGGAACAUAGCCCACCGAAACCUCUCAAAGACGCUUAAGUUUAGCCUCACAAGAUUCUUUUAACAACCAAGAAGCCUCAAACCAAAAGCUCCUAGUCCUAUGCCCUGUAUAUACGUAACAUCCGUAUCAAGCAGUAAUGGGCAAUGGUAAGAGAUGGAAUGCACAUAGUGGAUGAGUUUGUAGUUAGAAAAUAAAUGUCUCUACGUCGUUGGAUGAGUUUGUAGUUAAAAAAUAAAUCUCUCUACGCUGUUUGAGCCACCUCCUAUCAAGCCAUUCCCAGAUGUUGUUAUGAUGGAAUUUGCCCCUCUCCUAUGUAUACUAAUGCCCAACAAACCCUAGAUCAAAGAGCUCAACAUCCUCAAGCAUAGAGUGGAAAGCAUUCAUAAGUCAUUCAUCCCUCAAACGCCCUCCCUGCUUUUCUUGCGAAAAUAGAAUUUCAUUAAAAUCCCCCAUAAUUAUCCAAGGAUAAUCGAAAUCAACAGCUAGUUCUUGCAAAAGAUCCCAUGAUUAAAAAUGCCCACUCUGAACCGGUGAACCAUAGAACCCUGUAAACUGACAUUGAUUGCCUUCAAAAUCCUCCUCUACCAAUACAUCAUAUAAC